CAGCAGCCGCGGGAACACCGGCGGCCCGAGUGGUGAUCGUGAUUAUUGGGUCUAAAGGGUCCGUAGCCGGUUUGGUCAGUCCUCCGGGAAAUCUGAUAGCUCAACUAUUAGGCUUUCGGGGGAUACUGCCAGACUUGGAACCGGGAGAGGUAAGAGGUACUACAGGGGUAGGAGUGAAAUCUUGUAAUCCCUGUGGGACCACCUGUGGCGAAGGCGUCUUACCAGAACGGGUUCGACGGUGAGGGACGAAAGCUGGGGGCACGAACCGGAUUAGAUACCCGGGUAGUCCCAGCCGUAAACGAUGCUCGCUAGGUGUCAGGCAUGGCGCGACCGUGUCUGGUGCCGCAGGGAAGCCGUGAAGCGAGCCACCUGGGAAGUACGGCCGCAAGGCUGAAACUUAAAGGAAUUGGCGGGGGAGCACAACAACGGGUGGAAGCCUGCGGUUUAAUUGGACUCAACGCCGGACAACUCACCGGGGGCGACAGCAAUAUGUAGGCCAAGCUGAAGACUUUGCCUGAAUCGCUGAGGGGAGGUGCAUGG
RNAcentral lists this ribosomal RNA (540 nucleotides) under uncultured archaeon. RNAcentral describes it as "bacterial SSU rRNA". It matches the Rfam family "Archaeal small subunit ribosomal RNA", at positions 459 to 997 of the family's 1478-position model. The record is from RNAcentral.